Long non-coding RNA from Phacochoerus africanus (Common warthog), 885 nucleotides. RefSeq lists it as uncharacterized. The record is from RefSeq and is a predicted model, not a curated record. The transcript has 5 exons. Lineage: Eukaryota; Metazoa; Chordata; Mammalia; Artiodactyla; Suidae.
AACCUGAACCUCAGUGAGUCCAGACACCAGGUGCUGGCACCAGAGGAAAUAAACAGGGUGAUGGAAAUGUGUCUAGCUGGUUGACAGAUACCACUGCAGUGUACGGAUGGCCUCCCUGUGCAAAAGCCAAGUAAAAGUUCAUUUGUGAGCUCUCCCUCUCCCAGACCCACAGCUGUGGAACUGUGGCAGGGACAGAACUGGAGAGAGGACGUCAUGCCGAGCUCACCCUGUCCACCCCUGGGACUAAGGCUUAACGACAGUGAGUCAGACUCCUUCAGCUGUUUCUACUUCUACAACUCCUAAUUUUGCAAAGUACAUUGGCUGUUUUGGGCUAUUGCUGCAGUGACCUAGUCUGAAUGCUACGCUGGCCAGCUUGCUCCAAGAAUUAAUGGACUUCAAGCCUGGAUAAUGUGUCCCGGAGAAGGUAAAGGAGAAAAAGCACCUUGCUAUACUCGCUUUGCACUUAUUAUUCCACUCCCAUGAAGAUUCCAGGAAGCCACUGGAGCUUCUCUUAUUCUUGACAGUGAAAGUGAGUUGGGAAUGUUGAAGGAUUAACAAGUCCUAGAGACUGAACCUCAGCACCUCUGAAUCCAGUAAAAUCAUUAGCCGUCCCCAUUCCCUGAAGACUGUCUCUAAGUGGUUUUGCCAAAACAAGUCUCUCUACCAGUAGGAGAUUGUCAAGGCUCCAAUUAGUAAAUCCCUAAGCCCCAAAGUCAAUUAUGUGGGUAAUGAAAAGUGCUGGAAAACUCUCAUUCCUGGGAAAAGAAAGAAUCAGAUAGGCCAUUAGCCCCACUGGGUGCAAAGAAGGAUUAGAAUCCACCACAAAAAGCAAUGUUCAUGCUUCUACUGAAAUGGAAUAAAGAUGACUGAAUGACUAUACUGUUA